Bombina bombina (fire-bellied toad) is the source of this 294-nucleotide long non-coding RNA. RefSeq lists it as uncharacterized. NCBI's taxonomy places the organism in Eukaryota, Metazoa, Chordata, Amphibia, Anura, Bombinatoridae. The transcript has 3 exons. The record is from RefSeq and is a predicted model, not a curated record.
CCUGAUAGUGUGCCAAUAUUUGAAGCCUUGAGUUCAGAUGAUACUCAACCAAGGAUAGAAGUUUUAACAACAAUGAUGGUACAUAAAGGAGUUGGCUCAGAUGAAAGCUUUAAAGGAGUGGACAUAAGCGUAGAAGCCAAUAUAGUAGAUAACCUAGAUAACAGCACAUCAGGAGAUUUAUCUUCAACAUCAACUACUGAAACUGAAGACAAAAGUACUCAGAGUUGUCUUGAAGAUCAUGUUAAACAAAAAAAUUCUAAAAUUAGGGCAACUUUGGGAAUGUUAAUGGAGCAA